GACGAACGCUGGCGGCGUGCCUAAUACAUGCAAGUAGAACGCACAGUUUAUACCGUAGCUUGCUUCACCAUAGACUGUGAGUUGCGAACGAGUGAGUAACGCGUAGCUAACCUGCCUGGUAUCGGGGGGUAACUAUGGGAAACGAUAGCUAAUACCUCAUGAUAUUAAUUAUUGCAUGAUAAUUGAUUGAAAGGUGCAAUUGCACCACUACCAGAUGGACCUGCGUUGUAUUAGCUAGUAGGAGAGGUAACGGGGCACCUAAGCGAAGAUACAUCGCCGAACUGAGAGGGGGAUCGGCCAAACUGGGAACGGGACCCGGGCCAGACCUCUACGGGAGGCAGCAGUAGGGAAUCUUUGGCAAUGGACGGAAGUCUGAACGAGGAACGCCGCGGGAGUGAAGAAGGGUCUCGGAUUGUAAAGACCUGUUGUAAGGGAAGAACGGGAGUGAGAGUGGAAAGUGCACACCGUGACGGUACCUUAUCAGAAAGCGACGGCUAACUACGUG
RNAcentral lists this ribosomal RNA (505 nucleotides) under uncultured bacterium. RNAcentral describes it as "partial 16S ribosomal RNA". It matches the Rfam family "Bacterial small subunit ribosomal RNA", at positions 28 to 507 of the family's 1533-position model. The record is from RNAcentral.